UUUUUUUUUUUUUUUUUUGAGACGGAGUUUCACUCUGUUGCCCAGUCUGGAGUGCAGUGGCGUGGUCUCAGCUCACCGCAACCUCCGCCUCCUGGGUUCAAGUGAUUCUCCUGCCUCAGCCUCCUGAGUAGCUGGGAUUACAGGCACACACCACCAUGCCUGGCUAAUUUUUGUAUUUUUAGUAGAGAUAGGGUUUCACCAUGUUGGCCGGGAUGGUCUUGAUCUCCUGACCUUGUGAGCUGCCAGUCUCAGCCUCCCAAAGUGCUAGGAUUACAGGUGUGAGCCACUGUGCCCGGCCGGGAGUCUUAUUUUUUGUGGGCCCUGAAAUUUAAGGGAAAAGUCCUAAAAAGUCACUGAGCAUGUGGGAUGCAGGCUAUCUACAGUCUGAUGAGGGAGGUUCAGUUCAGCUUAACAUUCUCUGGGGUGUACUUUGUGCUGAGACUGGUUCUAGGGACACAGAUAUGAAUCAAACACUGAACCCAUCCCACAGGGGCUUACAAUUUGGCAAUGGAGACAUAUAAGUAAAUAGAUACUGACUCUACAGUGAUGAGUAGUUACAAAUUAGGAAGCACAAGGGUUAAUAGGAGCAUGGAAGGGGUUUUGUGCCUUCCUUUAAACAAACUUUUCUAUAGUAUUUACUUUUUUGUUUUUUGUUUUUUUUUUGAGACUGAGUCUUGCUCUGUUGCUCAGGCUGGAGUGCAAUGGUGCGAUCUUGGCUCACAGCAACCUCUGCCUCCCGCGUUGAAGUGAUUUUCCUGCCCCAGCCUCCUGAGAAGCUGGAAUUACAGGCACUCGCCAUCAUGCCUGGCUAAUUUUUGUAUUUUUGUAGAGAUGGGGUUUCACCAUGUUGGCCAGACUGAUCUUGAACUCCUGACCUCAGGUGAUCCACAUGCCUCGGCCUCCCAAAUGGACUACUCUGAUCGGGGAGGAGGUGGUGAUGAUAAAGGCAGCUGCUUUCAGCAACAAGGAGAGAAAGUGUGAAGCAAGAGGAAACUGGUCUUGGGAACAAAUGAAUCAUCUUCUUCAUGUAGUAGCUAUGCC
Molecule: long non-coding RNA, 1041 nt
Filed under: Macaca mulatta (Rhesus monkey)
Lineage: Eukaryota; Metazoa; Chordata; Mammalia; Primates; Cercopithecidae
Description: lncRNA (ENSMMUG00000056000.1)
Source: RNAcentral